This 664-nucleotide ribosomal RNA is filed under the name Haloferax prahovense. RNAcentral's name for it is "bacterial SSU rRNA". It matches the Rfam family "Archaeal small subunit ribosomal RNA", at positions 112 to 775 of the family's 1478-position model. Lineage: Archaea; Methanobacteriati; Methanobacteriota; Halobacteria; Halobacteriales; Haloferacaceae. The record is from RNAcentral.
CCCUACAGAGAACGAUAACCUCGGGAAACUGAGGCUAAUAGUUCAUACGGGAGUCAUGCUGGAAUGCCGACUCCCCGAAACGCUCAGGCGCUGUAGGAUGUGGCUGCGGCCGAUUAGGUAGACGGUGGGGUAACGGCCCACCGUGCCGAUAAUCGGUACGGGUUGUGAGAGCAAGAGCCCGGAGACGGAAUCUGAGACAAGAUUCCGGGCCCUACGGGGCGCAGCAGGCGCGAAACCUUUACACUGCACGCAAGUGCGAUAAGGGGACCCCAAGUGCGAGGGCAUAUAGUCCUCGCUUUUCUCGACUGUAAGGCGGUCGAGGAAUAAGAGCUGGGCAAGACCGGUGCCAGCCGCCGCGGUAAUACCGGCAGCUCAAGUGAUGACCGAUAUUAUUGGGCCUAAAGCGUCCGUAGCCGGCCACGAAGGUUCAUCGGGAAAUCCGCCAGCUCAACUGGCGGGCGUCCGGUGAAAACCACGUGGCUUGGGACCGGAAGGCUCGAGGGGUACGUCCGGGGUAGGAGUGAAAUCCCGUAAUCCUGGACGGACCACCGAUGGCGAAAGCACCUCGAGAAGACGGAUCCGACGGUGAGGGACGAAAGCUAGGGUCUCGAACCGGAUUAGAUACCCGGGUAGUCCUAGCUGUAAACGAUGCUCGCUAGGUGUG